Molecule: ribosomal RNA, 325 nt
Filed under: uncultured bacterium
Lineage: Bacteria
Description: bacterial SSU rRNA
Rfam family: Bacterial small subunit ribosomal RNA
Source: RNAcentral
ACGGAAUAGAUACCCAGGUAGUCCACGCCGUAAACGAUGUCUGCUAGCCGUUGGGGGGCUUGUCCCUUCAGUGGCGGAGUUAAACGCGAUAAGCAGACCGCCUGGGGAGUACGGCCGCAAGGUUAAAACUCAAAUGAAUUGACGGGGGCCCGCACAAGCGGUGGAGUAUGUGGUUUAAUUCGACGCAACGCGAAAAAACCCUUACCCGGUCUUGACAUCCUAGGAACCCCUUUAGAGAUAGAGGGGUUGCCGCAAGGAGCCUAGAGACAGGUGCUGCAUGGCUGUCGUCAGCUCGUGUCGUGAGAUGUUGGGUUAAGUCCCGCAA